UGGUAUCUCUGUGUUGUUUUACGACAGGAAGAAGGAGUACAUGAUCCCUCAGAUCGAACGGAAGGCUGGGUUCAAGUUUGAGCGGAUUGCAGCUCCUCAACCUGCAGACAUUGCCAAGGCUAGUGGCAACACAGCGACAGAUGGUGUCUUAGCAGUCUCCGAUACCGUGAUACCACUAUUCCGUCAAGCAGCUGAGGACCUUGUGAAGAGCAGUGGUUUGCCUGUACUAGACGUCCUUGCCAAGGCCAUUGCCAAAAUUUCUGGU
RNAcentral lists this long non-coding RNA (265 nucleotides) under Physcomitrium patens. Its description in RNAcentral is "long non-coding RNA (PPAT_LNC011966)". The record is from RNAcentral. Lineage: Eukaryota; Viridiplantae; Streptophyta; Bryopsida; Funariales; Funariaceae.